UCGGGAAUUUUGGGCAAUGGGUGCAAGCCUGAUCCAGCCAUGCCGCGUGCAGGAAGAAGGCCUUCUGGGUUGUAAACUGCUUUUUGCCAGGGAAUAAAAUUUCUUUGCGAAGAAAAUUGAAGGUACCUGGUGAAUAAGCCACGGCUAACUACGUGCCAGCAGCCGCGGUAAUACGUAGGUGGCAAGCGUUGUCCGGAUUUAUUGGGUUUAAAGGGUGCGUAGGCGGUUCCAUAAGUCAGUGGUGAAAUACAAUAGCUUAACUAUUGAGGUGCCAUUGAUACUGCGGAACUUGAGUACAGACGAGGUAGGCGGAAUUGACGGUGUAGCGGUGAAAUGCUUAGAUAUCGUCAAGAACACCGAUAGCGAAGGCAGCUUACUAGACUGUAACUGACGCUGAGGCACGAAAGUGUGGGGAUCAAACAGGAUUAGAUACCCCGGUAGUCCCUGAGCGGGCUGGCAAGGCGCAU
Molecule: ribosomal RNA, 467 nt
Filed under: uncultured bacterium
Lineage: Bacteria
Description: bacterial SSU rRNA
Rfam family: Bacterial small subunit ribosomal RNA
Source: RNAcentral